This 496-nucleotide ribosomal RNA is filed under the name uncultured bacterium. RNAcentral describes it as "partial 16S ribosomal RNA". It matches the Rfam family "Bacterial small subunit ribosomal RNA", at positions 29 to 507 of the family's 1533-position model. The record is from RNAcentral.
ACGAACGCUGGCGGCGUGCCUAAUACAUGCAAGUAGAACGCUGAAGAGAGGAGCUUGCUCUUCUUGGAUGAGUUGCGAACGGGUGAGUAACGCGUAGGUAACCUGCCUUGUAGCGGGGGAUAACUAUUGGAAACGAUAGCUAAUACCGCAUAACAAUGGAUGACACAUGUCAUUUAUUUGAAAGGGGCAAUUGCUCCACUACAAGAUGGACCUGCGUUGUAUUAGCUAGUAGGUGAGGUAAUGGCUCACCUAGGCGACGAUACAUAGCCGACCUGAGAGGGUGAUCGGCCACACUGGGACUGAGACACGGCCCAGACUCCCACGGGAGGCAGCAGUAGGGAAUCUUCGGCAAUGGGGGCAACCCUGACCGAGCAACGCCGCGUGAAGGAAGAAGGUUUUCGGAUCGUAAAGCUCUGUUGUAAGUCAAGAACGGGUGUGAGAGUGGAAAGUUCACACUGUGACGGUAGCUUACCAGAAAGGGACGGCUAACUACGUG